Long non-coding RNA from Etheostoma spectabile (orangethroat darter), 167 nucleotides. RefSeq lists it as uncharacterized. The transcript is spliced from 3 exons. Lineage: Eukaryota; Metazoa; Chordata; Actinopteri; Perciformes; Percidae. The record is from RefSeq and is a predicted model, not a curated record.
AAAAAAAAUAAACUACUUUAACGUAGAUUUUUUUCAGGGCUUUAUUAUGUGGUAUCAGAUUGGUGCAUAAACUCCAGUACUUCCCAAUACCGAUACUAGCGUUUUAGGCGGUAUUGGAGGCGAUACCGAUACUGGUAUGGAACAUCUCUCAUUUGUGUCACUGAGCC